AUACGUAGGGUGCAAGCGUUAAUCGGAAUUACUGGGCGUAAAGCGUGCGCAGGCGGUUUUGUAAGACAGUGGUGAAAUCCCCGGGCUCAACCUGGGAACUGCCAUUGUGACUGCAAGGCUGGAGUGCGGCAGAGGGGGAUGGAAUUCCGCGUGUAGCAGUGAAAUGCGUAGAUAUGCGGAGGAACACCGAUGGCGAAGGCAAUCCCCUGGGCCUGCACUGACGCUCAUGCACGAAAGCGUGGGGAGCAAACAGGAUUAGAUACCCUGGUAGUCCACGCCCUAAACGAUGUCAACUGGUUGUUGGGGAUUUAUUUUCUCAGUAACGAAGCUAACGCGUGAAGUUGACCGCCUGGGGAGUACGGCCGCAAGGUUAAAACUUAAAUGAAUUGACGGGG
RNAcentral lists this ribosomal RNA (395 nucleotides) under uncultured bacterium. Its description in RNAcentral is "partial 16S ribosomal RNA". It matches the Rfam family "Bacterial small subunit ribosomal RNA", at positions 523 to 918 of the family's 1533-position model. The record is from RNAcentral.